Molecule: ribosomal RNA, 255 nt
Filed under: Arachnida environmental sample
Lineage: Eukaryota; Metazoa; Arthropoda; Arachnida
Description: partial small subunit ribosomal RNA
Rfam family: Eukaryotic small subunit ribosomal RNA
Source: RNAcentral
AGCUCCAAUAGCGUAUAUUAAAGUUGUUGUGGUUAAAAAGCUCGUAGUUGGAUCUCAGUUCCUGUCCAGUGCGGUCCACUUGCCAGUGGUUCACUGCACUGACUGAACACUAUUAUCGACCCUGUCUAUGGUGCUCUUAAUCGGGUGUCAUAGGCGAUCGACACGUUUACUUUGAAAAAAUUAGAGUGCUCAAAGCAGGCGAUUUCGCCCGAAUAAUGUUGCAUGGAAUAAUGGAAUAGGAUCUCGGUUCUAUCU